UCGGGAACUCAAAGGAGACUGCCAGUGAUAAACUGGAGGAAGGUGGGGAUGACGUCAAGUCAUCAUGGCCCUUACGACCAGGGCUACACACGUGCUACAAUGGCGCAUACAAAGAGAAGCGACCUCGCGAGAGCAAGCGGACCUCAUAAAGUGCGUCGUAGUCCGGAUUGGAGUCUGCAACUCGACUCCAUGAAGUCGGAAUCGCUAGUAAUCGUGGAUCAGAAUGCCACGGUGAAUACGUUCCCGGGCCUUGUACACACCGCCCGUCACACCAUGGGAGUGGGUUGCAAAAGAAGUAGGUAGCUUAACCUUCGGGAGGGCGCUUACCACUUUGUGAUUCAUGACUGGGGUGAAGUCGUAACAAGGUAACCGUAGGGGAACCUGCGGUUGGAUCACCUCCUUACCUUAAAGAAGC
RNAcentral lists this ribosomal RNA (415 nucleotides) under Salmonella enterica subsp. enterica serovar Virchow. Its description in RNAcentral is "bacterial SSU rRNA". It matches the Rfam family "Bacterial small subunit ribosomal RNA", at positions 1131 to 1533 of the family's 1533-position model. The record is from RNAcentral. Lineage: Bacteria; Pseudomonadati; Pseudomonadota; Gammaproteobacteria; Enterobacterales; Enterobacteriaceae. RNAcentral also lists the same sequence under 1 other name.